RNAcentral lists this ribosomal RNA (504 nucleotides) under Clonostachys rosea. RNAcentral describes it as "eukaryotic LSU rRNA". The stretch from base 134 to 287 matches the Rfam family "5.8S ribosomal RNA". Lineage: Eukaryota; Fungi; Ascomycota; Sordariomycetes; Hypocreales; Bionectriaceae. The record is from RNAcentral.
UGUGAACAUACCUACUGUUGCUUCGGCGGGAUUGCCCCGGGCGCCUCGUGUGCCCCGGAUCAGGCGCCCGCCUAGGAAACUUAACUCUUGUUUUAUUUUGGAAUCUUCUGAGUAGUUUUUACAAAUAAAUAAAAACUUUCAACAACGGAUCUCUUGGUUCUGGCAUCGAUGAAGAACGCAGCGAAAUGCGAUAAGUAAUGUGAAUUGCAGAAUUCAGUGAAUCAUCGAAUCUUUGAACGCACAUUGCGCCCGCCAGUAUUCUGGCGGGCAUGCCUGUCUGAGCGUCAUUUCAACCCUCAUGCCCCUAGGGCGUGGUGUUGGGGAUCGGCCAAAGCCCGCGAGGGACGGCCGGCCCCUAAAUCUAGUGGCGGACCCGUCGUGGCCUCCUCUGCGAAGUAGUGAUAUUCCGCAUCGGAGAGCGACGAGCCCCUGCCGUUAAACCCCCAACUUUCCAAGGUUGACCUCAGAUCAGGUAGGAAUACCCGCUGAACUUAAGCAUAUCAA